GACGAACGCUGGCGGCGUGCUUAACACAUGCAAGUCGAACGGGCCCGCUCUCUUUUUUGGGGGUGGGUUGAGUGGCGAACGGGUGAGUAUCACGUGAGUAACCUGCCCCCUGCUCCUGGAUAACUGCUUGAAAGGGCGGCUAAUACGGGGUGUGCCGGCUGGUCCGCAUGGGCCUGGUCGGGAUAGUUUCAUCUUCGGGUGUUUCGGUGGGGGAUGGGCUCGCGGCCUAUCAGCUUGUUGGUGGGGUGAUGGCCCACCAAGGCGGUGACGGGUAGCCGGCCUGAGAGGGUGGGCGGCCACACUGGGACUGAGACACGGCCCAGACUCCGGCGGGAGGCAGCAGUGGGGGGUAUUGCACAAUGGGCGGAAGCCUGAUGCAGCGACGUCGCGUGAGGGAUGGAGGCCGUCGGGUUGUGAACCUCUUUCUCCGGGGGUGAAGGCCCUGUCCGUUGCGGCGGGGUUGACGGUAGCCGGGUAUGAAGCGCCGGCUAACUACGUG
Molecule: ribosomal RNA, 499 nt
Filed under: uncultured bacterium
Lineage: Bacteria
Description: partial 16S ribosomal RNA
Rfam family: Bacterial small subunit ribosomal RNA
Source: RNAcentral